RNAcentral lists this ribosomal RNA (253 nucleotides) under uncultured bacterium. RNAcentral's name for it is "partial 16S ribosomal RNA". It matches the Rfam family "Bacterial small subunit ribosomal RNA", at positions 524 to 776 of the family's 1533-position model. The record is from RNAcentral.
UACAGAGGGUGCGAGCGUUAAUCGGAAUUACUGGGCGUAAAGCGCACGUAGGCGGCUUUUUAAGUCAGGGGUGAAAUCCUGGAGCUCAACUCCAGAACUGCCUUUGAUACUGAGAAGCUUGAGUCCGGGAGAGGUGAGUGGAACUGCGAGUGUAGAGGUGAAAUUCGUAGAUAUUCGCAAGAACACCAGUGGCGAAGGCGGCUCACUGGCCCGGUACUGACGCUGAGGUGCGAAAGCGUGGGGAGCAAACAGG